CUCAGUUGACACUCCAAUAAACACAAAAUUAAGGAAGUCUUCAGCACCUUGCCUACAGUUUCUUCCUUUCAACUUUUCAAAUGAAGAACAUUUACAACUACUUGACGCAAAGGAGAUCUCAUUUAUACACCAGAAUACCUUGCGAGACAAGUAUAUGACCACACUCGUCCAUCCAACAAUCCAGUCCACAUCCAUCCCAAGCAAGAAGCUAGGCUAAGAACUUAAUCGCUCAAUUAUAACAACCAAAAUUUACUCGUUCUCACAAGAAUACUGCAAAGAGCUAUCGAGUUCAAAUAAGAACAUUGAUACAGUACAGAUCAUGUGUUUGGCUAAAGCACAUAUCUUUUAUACAUCUAUAACACAAUUGCAAUACGAACAGAAACAAGGCAAGGGUGCCAUCUCUUCCAACAGUUCAGGUCCAUGAUCAAAAGGAGCUUUUACGUAAUGUUGUAACCUGUUUAUCACUAAGCCCAACCUCCCAACUUCUAGUCAUCUCAUGCUCUAUCAUGAUAUGUAUCUAUAUUCGUACAAAUACAAAUGCAUGUUUGAUGUCCUUCGUUUAACGAAUAUUCAGAAUAAGCCAUAACAAUUUUCUCCAAAAGCAAGAUCAUUGUCUUGCUUAGGUAGUCUGCCUCAUUAUGUUCCCAAGCUAAUGAUAGGUGAAUAAUUGUUUCACUCACAUGACAUCCCCCUUAAAAGCAUCUAUCUUUCUUGCCUAGGCCAAGCUACGAAUACAACAACAUACCCAAUGUAGUCCCGUGAGCGCGGUCUGGGAAAGCCAAGCUAUGAAUAGUUAACAAUUUUACAACUAGCACAAACGACAUGCUUGGAACAUACAGCCACUACAGGUUAAACCAAAGAUUAUAUCUAGCGACUCUGAGAAAUCCUUUCUGUUAAGAAGCAAAAAAGAGAAUCCGAGUUUAACUAUUCAAGCCACAAAAGCUUUACACAGUUUAUCACCGACGUAGUUCAUAAGUUGUUAGUCCUCAAAAUUGAUCCAGGAUGACAUAUUCCUUACCCAAAAAAAUAACCACCUCAAUCCAAAUAAAAAUGUACUUCAUAAAAGGAAAGAGUUCCUUCAUAGCAAAGAUCUUUAAAUUGCUAAAAGUGGAUGUCCGAGUAACAUAAUCACACGACUUCAACGAUGAGACUCAGUCUAUCUAGCCAAAAGAAAAUGUUCGGAGAAUGAAAAAAAAAAUGUAUCAAAACAUUCCACGGGCAUAAACAACUACC
RNAcentral lists this long non-coding RNA (1233 nucleotides) under Nicotiana benthamiana. RNAcentral describes it as "long non-coding RNA (NBEN_LNC030037)". The record is from RNAcentral. Lineage: Eukaryota; Viridiplantae; Streptophyta; Magnoliopsida; Solanales; Solanaceae.